ACAUGGCAAAUGAGGAAUCGAUGUUUAAUGGGUAAUUUGCGUCUGAAUAUUUUAUUGAUGCUUUCACCUUGGAUAUCUGAUGCCUAUC
This is a small nucleolar RNA of Telopea speciosissima, 88 nucleotides long. The record is from RefSeq and is a predicted model, not a curated record. NCBI's taxonomy places the organism in Eukaryota, Viridiplantae, Streptophyta, Magnoliopsida, Proteales, Proteaceae.